This 95-nucleotide ribosomal RNA is filed under the name Duganella guangzhouensis. Its description in RNAcentral is "partial 23S ribosomal RNA". The stretch from base 1 to 77 matches the Rfam family "Bacterial large subunit ribosomal RNA", at positions 2849 to 2925 of the family's 2925-position model. Lineage: Bacteria; Pseudomonadati; Pseudomonadota; Betaproteobacteria; Burkholderiales; Oxalobacteraceae. The record is from RNAcentral.
GACGUUGAUAGGUCAGGUGUGGAAGUGCAGUAAUGCAUUAAGCUAACUGAUACUAAUUGCCCGUACGGCUUGUCCCUAUAACCUUGACGGUUAUA